CUACGGGUUGCUCCAGUGGGGAAUCUUGGACAAUGGGCGCAAGCCUGAUCCAGCCAUGCCGCGUGAGUGAAGAAGGCCUUAGGGUCGUAAAGCUCUUUCGCCAGAGAUGAUAAUGACAGUAUCUGGUAAAGAAACCCCGGCUAACUCCGUGCCAGCAGCCGCGGUAAUACGGAGGGGGUUAGCGUUGUUCGGAAUUACUGGGCGUAAAGCGCGCGUAGGCGGAUUAGUCAGUCAGAGGUGAAAUCCCAGGGCUCAACCCUGGAACUGCCUUUGAUACUGCUAGUCUUGAGUUCGAGAGAGGUGAGUGGAAUUCCGAGUGUAGAGGUGAAAUUCGUAGAUAUUCGGAGGAACACCAGUGGCGAAGGCGGCUCACUGGCUCGAUACUGACGCUGAGGUGCGAAAGUGUGGGGAGCAAACAGGAUUAGAUACCCGCGUAGUC
RNAcentral lists this ribosomal RNA (439 nucleotides) under uncultured bacterium. RNAcentral's name for it is "partial 16S ribosomal RNA". It matches the Rfam family "Bacterial small subunit ribosomal RNA", at positions 339 to 795 of the family's 1533-position model. The record is from RNAcentral.